This 69-nucleotide transfer RNA is filed under the name Maja squinado (spiny spider crab). RNAcentral's name for it is "tRNA-Gln". RNAcentral also lists the same sequence under 1 other name. The record is from RNAcentral. Lineage: Eukaryota; Metazoa; Arthropoda; Malacostraca; Decapoda; Majidae.
UAUUUGUUGGUGUAUAGCGCACAGAAAGUUUUGAUCUUUAAAGUAAUGGUGUAACUCCGUUGCAGAUAA